This 95-nucleotide non-coding RNA is filed under the name marine eukaryotic metagenome. RNAcentral describes it as "SAM riboswitch (S box leader)". It matches the Rfam family "SAM riboswitch aptamer (S box leader)". From Rfam's summary of the family: The SAM riboswitch is found upstream of a number of genes which code for proteins involved in methionine or cysteine biosynthesis in Gram-positive bacteria. The SAM riboswitch acts at the level of transcription termination control. The record is from RNAcentral.
CUUAUCAAGAAAGACGGAGGGAUGGGCCCUAUGAUGUCUUGGCAACCCUGAAAAAGCAGGGUGCCAAUUCCCACUCCUAAAAUGGAGGCAGAUGA